This 280-nucleotide ribosomal RNA is filed under the name uncultured bacterium. Its description in RNAcentral is "partial 16S ribosomal RNA". It matches the Rfam family "Bacterial small subunit ribosomal RNA", at positions 506 to 784 of the family's 1533-position model. The record is from RNAcentral.
UGCCAGCCGCCGCGGUAACACGUAGGGGGCAAGCGUUGUCCGGAUUUACUGGGCGUAAAGAGCUCGUAGGCGGUUCGGUAAGUUGGGUGUGAAAACUCCAGGCUCAACCUGGAGAGGCCACUCAAUACUGCUGUGACUAGAGUUCGGUAGAGGAUCGUGGAAUUUCUGGUGUAGCGGUGAAAUGCGCAGAUAUCAGAAGGAACACCAACGGCGAAGGCAGCGAUCUGGGCCGAUACUGACGCUGAGGAGCGAAAGCAUGGGGAGCAAACAGGAUUAGAUA